GGUUCACUGCUGCGUUGGUGACUGCCAAUAUAGUUUUUUUGAUCUAUGCUUGAGUUACGUGGGAGUUAUAACCGCUUGCGUGGCAGUAAACCGAGCAUUGCACUCGGAAACUUAAAACGCGAAGCCCCAAUUCCCCCCUGGGUUUCCCAGGUCAAAAGCUGAGGUAAGACGGCGUGGCGGUGAAUCC
RNAcentral lists this non-coding RNA (187 nucleotides) under Spirulina sp. DLM2.Bin59. RNAcentral's name for it is "6S RNA". It matches the Rfam family "6S / SsrS RNA". From Rfam's summary of the family: E. coli 6S RNA was the first non coding RNA to be sequenced, but its function was unknown until recently. It consists of 184 nucleotides that fold into an extended hairpin structure with a large single-stranded internal bulge. Lineage: Bacteria; Bacillati; Cyanobacteriota; Cyanophyceae; Spirulinales; Spirulinaceae. The record is from RNAcentral.